This 467-nucleotide ribosomal RNA is filed under the name uncultured bacterium. RNAcentral describes it as "partial 16S ribosomal RNA". It matches the Rfam family "Bacterial small subunit ribosomal RNA", at positions 28 to 507 of the family's 1533-position model. The record is from RNAcentral.
GACGAACGCUGGCGGCGUGCUUAACACAUGCAAGUCGAACGGAAAGGCCCUGCUUUUGUGGGGUGCUCGAGUGGCGAACGGGUGAGUAACACGUGAGUAACCUGCCCUUGACUUUGGGAUAACUUCAGGAAACUGGGGCUAAUACCGGAUAGGAGCUCCUGCUGCAUGGUGGGGGUUGGAAAGUUUCGGCGGUUGGGGAUGGACUCGCGGCUUAUCAGCUUGUUGGUGGGGUAGUGGCUUACCAAGGCUUUGACGGGUAGCCGGCCUGAGAGGGUGACCGGCCACAUUGGGACUGAGAUACGGCCCAGACUCCUACGGGAGGCAGCAGUGGGGAAUAUGGACAAUGGGCGGAAGCCUGAUGCAGCAACGCCGCGUGCGGGAUGACGGCCUUCGGGUUGUAAACCGCUUUCGCCUGUGACGAAGCGUGAGUGACGGUAAUGGGUAAAGAAGCACCGGCUAACUACGUG